ACUUAGCUUUUCCUUGUUGCUUUGAUUCCGGCAUUGUGUUUUAUUAAGUACAACCGUAUACUCGACAUUUAUACUCCACCAUUUACAUCUGGAAUCUCACGAACCCUAGAUUUUCAAUUCUAUAUCCCCUUUCGAGAUUCCUAUGUCUAUGCUUGUAUUUCUCAAGUGUUCUAGCUGAGGACAGCCUAUUUAUUCCGAAUUAGAUGCUUUGCCACCGCGCUACGCAAGUUUGUUUAGGUUGACCAAUUUUGAAUUAGUCAGAUUGUUGAAAACGGUUAAUCCUUUGGGGAUGAAGGUAAAGAAUACGCUUCUGGUGAUUUUGCUUGUUGCCUCAGUAAUUUCUUGUCGUGUAGCUGCAGAUUCGGAGGAGGAAGUUGCAGGCUCGAAAAAUUGGCAAGUGUUAGUUGAUGGUAGUGAUGAUAGAGUGAAGGAGUUAGCUGAUCUUACAAAGAAUAAUGCUGUUAAGUUAGAUAAUACUCCCUCCGUCCCGAAUAUUUGUCUCACUUUGACCGGGCACGGGUUUUAAGAAAUUUAAUGAAAAGUGAGUUGAAAAAGUUAUCGGAACGUACUUUUAUAUAUUAAUUUUAUAAUAAAA
Molecule: long non-coding RNA, 595 nt
Organism: Salvia splendens (bonfire salvia)
Lineage: Eukaryota; Viridiplantae; Streptophyta; Magnoliopsida; Lamiales; Lamiaceae
Exons: 3
Source: RefSeq, a predicted model, not a curated record